This 29-nucleotide small RNA is filed under the name Bombyx mori (domestic silkworm). Its description in RNAcentral is "ovarian small RNA-22685". Lineage: Eukaryota; Metazoa; Arthropoda; Insecta; Lepidoptera; Bombycidae. The record is from RNAcentral.
UAGGAUGGCAAUACAGCAAUUAAAAUGGC